AGUACCGCUCGUACAUUCCGGUUCCGAUCGCGCCGUCCACACCCACCUGACGACUGCUCGCUACAUCUGUUAGCC
This 75-nucleotide small RNA is filed under the name Xanthomonas pisi. Its description in RNAcentral is "sX9 sRNA". It matches the Rfam family "Xanthomonas sRNA sX9". The record is from RNAcentral. Lineage: Bacteria; Pseudomonadati; Pseudomonadota; Gammaproteobacteria; Lysobacterales; Lysobacteraceae.